UUAAUAUGGAGAGUUUGAUCCUGGCUCAGAGUGAACGCUGGCGGCGUGCCUAAUACAUGCAAGUCGAACGGACAAGUAAGAGCUUGCUCUUAUGAGUUAGUGGCGCACGGGUGAGUAAUGUAUAGCUAAUCUGCCCUACACUAGAGGACAACAGUUGGAAACGGCUGCUAAUACUCUAUACUCCUGUCUUACAUAAGUUAGAUAGGGAAGUUUUCGGU
This 218-nucleotide ribosomal RNA is filed under the name Campylobacter concisus. RNAcentral's name for it is "partial 16S ribosomal RNA". It matches the Rfam family "Bacterial small subunit ribosomal RNA", at positions 1 to 219 of the family's 1533-position model. Lineage: Bacteria; Pseudomonadati; Campylobacterota; Epsilonproteobacteria; Campylobacterales; Campylobacteraceae. The record is from RNAcentral.